CAGGACCUGGAAGACUACUACCACUGAGCUGCUGCAUAGACCCCUGAUCUACUUCAACUUAAUUCGCUGAGAUGCUGGUCUGCAGCAGCUGGUUUACCACUGCAGAAGUACCAAAAUAGCAGGAAGCCUUGGCCACAAGUGGGAUUACCAAACUGCUCUCCAACGCCGGCCUCGGUGGCACGCUGCAGAAUAGUUACUUCAUUCAGCACGGCAAGGCUUGUAACCCAAGGCUCCAAUCCCAUGAAGUCAGAACGACUCUUUUGUAUGUUCCCAUAUGUCAUUAGCUUUUAUAAAAAGGAAUCAAAAUGUCAAGCAAAGGGAAGAAAGAAAACAAAUAUAAAUCACUUAAAUGGAGAAUAGAAAGUAAAUAGAAAAAGGGAAAAAGAGGAUGUAACAAAUGCUGUAUGCCUGAAGCAAAAGAACAAACCCUGCAUUUACUUGUGGUAUUCAAGUAGAGAAAAAAUUUCCACUGAUUUCAUUGAGAGCAGAACCAUACCUUGGCUUGGUGCCUGCAAGAUUGCAAGAAAGGAUAUCUAUGUUUUCCAUUUGGAAUAACCUCCGCAUACACAAGUGAUUUCUGAAGAUUCAGUGCUUCUCUGUUUCGUCAGCCCUGCCUAUUGACAAUUUUUCAUCAUCAUCACUCUUGCGUUUAGAAGGGUGUGUGGUUUCGUGAGUGCAUUUCAGGGAUGUUUGGUGACCCAUGCAAUCCUCCUGUGUUUCUGACAACCACUGCCACACUCGUCUCUUCAAGCAGCAAAGCCACCUGCUGGGGUUUCAUCCAGCUUCAAGGUUUUCAGUGGCUACUGAAGUCAUAACAAAACCCAAUACCUUCUCUCCUCAUAACUAAGUCAUGUAUCUAGGGUCAUCUAUAAAUAAUCAAGAUCUCUGCACUCAAAUUAGAACACUGAUUUUCUAUGAGGGCUCUGUGGACUAUUUGAGUUUCGAAAAGUAACUAAGAAAAGCAAUGGUAUGGACAGCAGACUUCCAUCCACCACAGAAGUUUAGUGCUCCUUUGAAAAAAGGAUGUUUGCACAUCAGAACAUUUCAAAGGCCCUACAGACAUAAUCAGGAAGGAAAAAAAAAAAAAUCAGAACUGAAAUGAGACAGAGAGGGAAAGAUGUAAGAAGAGAGGCAGCUGUCCUAAUGGGUCACCAUUACAAAUGAAGAUAAAAUAGAAAUAAAUAGAAAUAAAAUAGACA
RNAcentral lists this long non-coding RNA (1199 nucleotides) under Anas platyrhynchos platyrhynchos (common mallard). RNAcentral's name for it is "lncRNA (ENSAPLG00000025759.1)". Lineage: Eukaryota; Metazoa; Chordata; Aves; Anseriformes; Anatidae. The record is from RNAcentral.